GUGAAUUUCGUUAACAGCAGCCUGUUUUAAAUUUAAUAUUCUGUGAAGUUUUUUUUUUUUUAAUUUUACAAAAUAAUAAAAAAUCCAAGAAAAUUAUACAUAUGUAUUUGUCAAAAAAUGUGGAAAAUAAAAGAGUGUCUUUUGAUCUUCAAAAUGUAAAUAUAGCAACAAUAACAACAAGAAAAACGACAACAAUACAAAACAAUAAACUUUGUAAAAGUUCUGGUCUUUGUUGUCUUUGUUUGAAAAAGUGGCACAGUGGUUUGAAAGUUUAAAAACUUUAUAAAAACUAUAUAUAAAAGAAGGAAGUGUCUAUAUGUAUAAGUGAAAGAAGUCUCUACAGGCUAAGAAUAAGAAAAGUUAUGUACCAGUCGAAUAAAUGAGUAAUUCCUCUGAUUAAACCUAUAAGACACUAGAUCAAAACGAUUGCCAAGAACUGCUGGGAUGUGAGAAAAUUUUACAAUUUUUACUUUUGUUGCUCAACUCUGCUAAACAACUGCAGCAAUUGCGUUUUACACUCUCUCAAUUCAUACCUUUUGCUUGCUGCA
Molecule: long non-coding RNA, 548 nt
Organism: Lucilia cuprina (Australian sheep blowfly)
Lineage: Eukaryota; Metazoa; Arthropoda; Insecta; Diptera; Calliphoridae
Exons: 3
Source: RefSeq, a predicted model, not a curated record